RNAcentral lists this ribosomal RNA (253 nucleotides) under uncultured bacterium. RNAcentral's name for it is "partial 16S ribosomal RNA". It matches the Rfam family "Bacterial small subunit ribosomal RNA", at positions 524 to 776 of the family's 1533-position model. The record is from RNAcentral.
UACGUAGGGUGCAAGCGUUGUCCGGAAUUAUUGGGCGUAAAGAGCUCGUAGGCGGUCUGUCGCGUCUGCUGUGAAAUCUCGGGGCUUAACCCUGAGCUUGCAGUGGGUACGGGCAGACUAGAGUGCGGUAGGGGAGACUGGAAUUCCUGGUGUAGCGGUGAAAUGCGCAGAUAUCAGGAGGAACACCGGUGGCGAAGGCGGGUCUCUGGGCCGUAACUGACGCUGAGGAGCGAAAGCAUGGGGAGCGAACAGG